GUUAUGUAAGCAGUUCUACUAUUCGCAUUUCACGUCAGUACCAUCGGCCACAGGGUUAAAAGUGCACAGGAGCAAGAGGAAAUGUUCACUCACAAUACUCGGACCUCGGUGUGCGCCAAUAAUGGCCCAUGCGUCAGCAGCCGAACGCCAUGAGUGUAAGAGUCUCCUUGCCCCUGUGCAUUUUUAAGCUUCUGGCCGACGGUACUAACAUGAAUGGUGAAUAGUAUAUAGGUAGUGUUCAAUACAACAGGUCAAAGUAGGUAUGGAGAGGGUAACUUUUGGUGAAGGAAGUGUCAUUGGAGUGCCCGUGGGCACCAAUUUAGUUACUUUUAGUACUUAUUUUUACCUACCUAUGUACUGAACACUACAUAGAGCUAUUCAGGACUUAUUACAUGCCAGACCCACUCUGCCAUACAAUUCGCCGCUUUCGUUUGGAGUCGCGAUUACGCAGUUAAGAGAGCAAAGCGGCAAUUAGAACAGCCACACGCUCCACCUCGGUUCUUCCCGGAAACAUAGUAGCCGAGCCUCCACUUCCCCAGGAUUUGGUAAACAUAAAAAGCCGCCGCUACGUAGAAACGAGAUUCGACGUCAAUUUAUUGACACGAGCAUCCUGAGUGGGAAAGUCCCCUUGCCUCUGUGACUUUUUAGCUUGAGAGAUUGACUCAGGACGUGAGAGGUGCACUGUAUGUGCAUACGUCAAAUGUACGACAGUUGGAAAACAUUCCUAC
Long non-coding RNA from Nomia melanderi (Alkali bee), 728 nucleotides. RefSeq lists it as uncharacterized. NCBI's taxonomy places the organism in Eukaryota, Metazoa, Arthropoda, Insecta, Hymenoptera, Halictidae. The record is from RefSeq and is a predicted model, not a curated record.